This 96-nucleotide microRNA precursor is filed under the name Marmota monax (woodchuck). The record is from RNAcentral. Lineage: Eukaryota; Metazoa; Chordata; Mammalia; Rodentia; Sciuridae.
AAUGGAAUUGCUGGGUCAUAGUAAUUCGAUGUUAACUUAUUAAGGAACAAACUAUUUUCCAAAAUAGCUACAUCAUUUUACAUUCCCACCAGCAAU